This 204-nucleotide ribosomal RNA is filed under the name uncultured bacterium. RNAcentral describes it as "partial 16S ribosomal RNA". It matches the Rfam family "Bacterial small subunit ribosomal RNA", at positions 1297 to 1500 of the family's 1533-position model. The record is from RNAcentral.
AUUGCAGUCUGCAACUCGACUGCAUGAAGUCGGAAUCGCUAGUAAUCGCGGAUCAGCAUGCCGCGGUGAAUACGUUCCCGGGCCUUGUACACACCGCCCGUCACACCAUGAGAGUCGGGAACACCCGAAGUCCGUAGCCUAACUGCAAAGGGGGCGCGGCCGAAGGUGGGUUCGAUAAUUGGGGUGAAGUCGUAACAAGGUAUC